This 253-nucleotide ribosomal RNA is filed under the name uncultured bacterium. RNAcentral describes it as "partial 16S ribosomal RNA". It matches the Rfam family "Bacterial small subunit ribosomal RNA", at positions 524 to 776 of the family's 1533-position model. The record is from RNAcentral.
UACGGGGGGGGCAAGCGUUGUUCGGAAUUACUGGGCGUAAAGGGUUCGUAGGUGGCCAACUAAGUCAUACGUGAAAUCCCUCAGCUUAACUGGGGAACUGCGUCUGAUACUGGUUGGCUUGAGUGCAGGAGAGGAACGCGGAAUUCCAGGUGUAGCGGUGAAAUGCGUAGAUAUCUGGAGGAACACCGGUGGCGAAGGCGGCUCACUGGCCCGGUACUGACGCUGAGGCGCGAAAGCGUGGGGAGCAAACAGG